RNAcentral lists this ribosomal RNA (692 nucleotides) under Antricola marginatus. Its description in RNAcentral is "12S ribosomal RNA". The record is from RNAcentral. Lineage: Eukaryota; Metazoa; Arthropoda; Arachnida; Ixodida; Argasidae.
AUAUUUGUAUAGUAAUAAAUAUUUCUAUAAAAAGCUCUUUAUGUUAUGAAUUCAAUGCCUGAAAAUAGAAGAUAAAUUUAAAUUUUUUGAAAAAUAAAACUAGGCUUUUUAUUAAUUCUGGCGAAGCCUGUGCCAGCCGCCGCGGUUAUACAGGCAGGGUGAAAAUAUUGUUAUUAAUUAAUAAAUUUAGUAUUGAUAAUAUUUUUAGUUAAUUAGGUGAAAUUAUUAAUUUAAUUGAGUUGCUAGUGUUUUAGGAAAUUUAUGAAUUAAAAUAGGAUUAGAUACCCUAGUAUUGUAAAAUGUGAGAUAGAGAGUGGUUUUAGGGUUAUUAAAUCUAAGUAAUUUGGCGGUACCUUAAGCUUGUUAGAGGAAUUUAUUCUGUAAUUGAUAUGACUCAUGAAUCUUUCUUAAUUUGGUUAAGACAGCUUGUAUAUCGCUAUCAUUUUAUUAUAUUUAAUGAUUAUAAUAGAAAUAGUAUUUAAUUAGAAUGUUAGGUCAAAAUGCAGCUUAAAAUUAAGUUUGAAAUAAAUUACGUUAAUUUAUAUUGGAGGGAAGGAAGAAGAAUUUAGGAUUUAAUAGUAAAUUUAAAUUAUAAUGUUAAGUUGAAUUAAGCUCUGAGGUAUGUACAUAUCGCCCGUCGCUCUCAUUAGUGAGAUAAGUCGUAACAAAGUAAAAGUACCGGAAGGUGUUUU